UGGGGAAUAUUGCACAAUGGAGGGAACUCUGAUGCAGCGACGCCCCGUGAACGAAGAAGGCUUUCGAGUCGUAAAGUUCUUUUAUAUGGGAAGAUAAUGACGGUACCAUAAGAAAAAGCCCCGGCUAACUACGUGCCAGCAGCCGCGGUAAUACGUAGGGGGCUAGCGUUGUCCGGAAUCACUGGGCGUAAAGGGUUCGCAGGCGGAAAUGCAAGUCAGGUGUAAAAGGCAGUAGCUUAACUACUGUAAGCAUUUGAAACUGCAUAUCUUGAGAAGAGUAGAGGUAAGUGGAAUUUUUAGUGUAGCGGUGAAAUGCGUAGAUAUUAAAAAGAAUACCGGUGGCGAAGGCGACUUACUGGGCUCAUUCUGACGCUGAGGAACGAAAGCGUGGGUAGCAAACAGG
RNAcentral lists this ribosomal RNA (403 nucleotides) under bacterium. Its description in RNAcentral is "partial 16S ribosomal RNA". It matches the Rfam family "Bacterial small subunit ribosomal RNA", at positions 355 to 776 of the family's 1533-position model. The record is from RNAcentral.